GGCUACGUAGCUCAGCUGGUUAGAGCACAUCACUCAUUAAUGAUGGGGUCACAGGUUCGAAUCCCGUCGUAGCCACCA
This 78-nucleotide transfer RNA is filed under the name Cedecea neteri. Its description in RNAcentral is "tRNA-???(catt)". It matches the Rfam family "tRNA". Rfam says of the family: Transfer RNA (tRNA) molecules are approximately 80 nucleotides in length. Their secondary structure includes four short double-helical elements and three loops (D, anti-codon, and T loops). The record is from RNAcentral. Lineage: Bacteria; Pseudomonadati; Pseudomonadota; Gammaproteobacteria; Enterobacterales; Enterobacteriaceae.